Mirounga angustirostris (Northern elephant seal) is the source of this 437-nucleotide long non-coding RNA. RefSeq lists it as uncharacterized. NCBI's taxonomy places the organism in Eukaryota, Metazoa, Chordata, Mammalia, Carnivora, Phocidae. The transcript has 3 exons. The record is from RefSeq and is a predicted model, not a curated record.
AGUCAUUAAUAAAGAUUUGCAACAUUACCUGAGUCUUCAGUUUCAGAAAGGAUCAAUUGACCACAAAUUGCAGCAAGUGAUCAGAGAUAAUCUCUACUUGAGAACCAUUCCAUGCACUACAAGGGCCCCCAGGGAUGGGGAAGUACCAGGGGUGGACUAUAACUUCAUUUCUGUUGAACAGUUCAAAGCACUGGAAGAGAGUGGAGCAUUAUUAGAAAGUGGAACGUAUGACGGAAACUUCUAUGGAACUCCCAAACCUCCAGCAGAACCCAGCCCUUUCCAGCCAGAUCCAGUUGAUCAGGUCCUCUUCGAUAAUGAGUUUGACACCGAAUCCCAAAGAAAACGAACUACAUCUGUCAGCAAGAUGGAAAGAAUGGACAGCUCUCUUCCUGAAGAGGAAGACGAUGAGGGCAAGGAAGCUGUUAAUGGCAGUGGAA